Molecule: long non-coding RNA, 1201 nt
Filed under: Pan troglodytes (chimpanzee)
Lineage: Eukaryota; Metazoa; Chordata; Mammalia; Primates; Hominidae
Description: long non-coding RNA NONPTRT003093
Source: RNAcentral
AGGUUGAGUGGAGAGAAGCUGAGAUCAAGCAGAGAGAAGCUGAGGUUGAGUGGAGAGAAGCUGAGGUUGAGUGGAGAGAAGCUGAGGUUGAGUGGAGAGAAGCUGAGGUUGAGUGGAGAGAAGCUGAGGUUGAGUGGAGAGAAGCUGAGGUUGAGUGGAGAGAGGCUGGGAACCAGUGAUGAGAAGCUGAGGUUGAGUGGAGAGAAGCUGAGGUUGAGUGGAGAGAAGCUGGGGUCAAGUGCGGAGAAGCUGAGAUCUAGUGAGGAGAAGUUAGGGACCAGCGGGGAGAAAUUGGAGGGUUCAAGAAUGGGGAGCAUAAAUGAGAAGAACAUUGAAAAAGUGGUAGAAGUUACUGGUGAUGAAAGAGUGAUGGCAUUUACUGAUGAUGAGAUGGAAAUUCCUUUUGAAAGUGUCAAAGGGAGUGAGGAACUACAAGGGACUGAGAAAGGAGUGGGAGUUGAGGGGAGCAUCUUGAGUGAAGUGAAAGAUAUCACUGAUGAAUCUGUUUCUAUGGAAAAGAAAGAUAUUAUAGGUGAAGGUACCAGUGAAUGAGGCAGAUGAAGGAUUGACACCAAAGAAGGAAAGAGGCAGACAGGAGAAGUACUGAAAGUCAGAGGAGAAAUUAGAGCCAGGCAGAACAUUAUUGACACUGAAGGGGUAAAGUUGAGAAAGGAAAGGAGAGAGUCUGAGCCUAAAAUAAAAGAGAGUGGAAGUGAGGAAAAGAGCUUCUGGGGCUGAAGGCGGAGGCCAGGAUCAAAGGAAGCAAAGAGGAGUGUCUGGUUCAGAGGGAAGUGGGAACAUAUGGAGGAGAAAGAGAAGACUUGGUAACGUGUUGACAGAGGACACUUGGAUAUUGGGAGAAAAGCUGUGACUGGGAGCUCAUAGGGAAAUGUUUGAGAAAAGGAUGGAGGAUGGGCUAGAAGGAUUUAGUCUGACACUAAAUGGGGUCUAUGAGAUGGAGAAUUGCAGCAGGAUAAAGGGUAGAUUUUGAGAGUUGUGGAAGAAGGUGCAGACUGAAGUGGGCAAAAUUUCUGAAAGAGGAGCCUGAAGAAUGAAGGGCUCCCAAGUGACAAAAGCAGGAGAGGAGAUAAGAAAGAAGUGAGAAAAAACACAAGAAGCCACGUGCCAUAAUGGUGAUUGUGUUUGUUGGUUCUACCCAGUAGACACUGCCAGAGCCAGGCACAGAGUCCAGGCAGCCUGA